This 440-nucleotide ribosomal RNA is filed under the name uncultured bacterium. RNAcentral describes it as "partial 16S ribosomal RNA". It matches the Rfam family "Bacterial small subunit ribosomal RNA", at positions 338 to 795 of the family's 1533-position model. The record is from RNAcentral.
CCUACGGGCGGCAGCAGUGGGGGAUAUUGCACAAUGGGGGAAACCCUGAUGCAGCGACGCCGCGUGGGUGAAGAAGCGCCUCGGCGCGUAAAGCCCUGUCAGCAGGGAAGAAAAUGACGGUACCUGAAGAAGAAGCCCCGGCUAACUACGUGCCAGCAGCCGAGGUAAUACGUAGGGGGCAAGCGUUAUCCGGAUUUACUGGGUGUAAAGGGGGCGCAGACGGCGAUGCAAGCCAGGAGUGAAAGCCCGGGGCCAAACCCCGGGACUGCUCUUGGAACUGCGUGGCGAGAGUGCAGGAGGGGCAGGCGGAAUUCCUGGUGUAGCGGUGAAAUGCGUAGAUAUCAGGAGGAACACCGGUGGCGAAGGCGACCUGCUGGACUGCAACUGACGUUGAGGCCCGAAAGCGUGGGGAGCAAACAGGAUUAGAUACCCUUGUAGUC